This 302-nucleotide ribosomal RNA is filed under the name uncultured bacterium. RNAcentral describes it as "partial 16S ribosomal RNA". It matches the Rfam family "Bacterial small subunit ribosomal RNA", at positions 508 to 807 of the family's 1533-position model. The record is from RNAcentral.
GCAGCCGCCGCGGUAAUACGAAGGGUGCAAGCGUUACUCGGAAUUACUGGGCGUAAAGCGUGCGUAGGUGGUGGUUUAAGUCCGUUGUGAAAGCCCUGGGCUCAACCUGGGAAUUGCAGUGGAUACUGGGUCACUAGAGUGUGGUAGAGGAUAGUGGAGUUUCCGGUGUAGCAGUGAAAUGCGUAGAGAUCGGAAGGAACAUCUGUGGCGAAGGCGACUAUCUGGGCCAACACUGACACUGAGGCACGAAAGCGUGGGGAGCAAACAGGAUUAGAUACCCCUGUAGUCCCUGUCUCUUAUAC